RNAcentral lists this small RNA (529 nucleotides) under Cladosporium cladosporioides. RNAcentral's name for it is "eukaryotic LSU rRNA". The stretch from base 225 to 378 matches the Rfam family "5.8S ribosomal RNA". The record is from RNAcentral. Lineage: Eukaryota; Fungi; Ascomycota; Dothideomycetes; Cladosporiales; Cladosporiaceae.
UUCUUGGUCAAUUAGAGGAAGUAAAAGUCGUAACAAGGUCUCCGUAGGUGAACCUGCGGAGGGAUCAUUACAAGUGACCCCGGCUACGGCCGGGAUGUUCAUAACCCUUUGUUGUCCGACUCUGUUGCCUCCGGGGCGACCCUGCCUUCGGGCGGGGGCUCCGGGUGGACACUUCAAACUCUUGCGUAACUUUGCAGUCUGAGUAAACUUAAUUAAUAAAUUAAAACUUUUAACAACGGAUCUCUUGGUUCUGGCAUCGAUGAAGAACGCAGCGAAAUGCGAUAAGUAAUGUGAAUUGCAGAAUUCAGUGAAUCAUCGAAUCUUUGAACGCACAUUGCGCCCCCUGGUAUUCCGGGGGGCAUGCCUGUUCGAGCGUCAUUUCACCACUCAAGCCUCGCUUGGUAUUGGGCAACGCGGUCCGCCGCGUGCCUCAAAUCGUCCGGCUGGGUCUUCUGUCCCCUAAGCGUUGUGGAAACUAUUCGCUAAAGGGUGUUCGGGAGGCUACGCCGUAAAACAACCCCAUUUCUAA